Molecule: ribosomal RNA, 494 nt
Filed under: uncultured bacterium
Lineage: Bacteria
Description: partial 16S ribosomal RNA
Rfam family: Bacterial small subunit ribosomal RNA
Source: RNAcentral
GAUGAACGCUGGCGGCGUGCCUAAUACAUGCAAGUAGAACGCUGAAGGAGGAGCUUGCUCUUCUGGAUGAGUUGCGAACGGGUGAGUAACGCGUAGGUAACCUUCCUGGUAGCGGGGGAGAACUAUUGGAAACGAUAGCUAAUACCGCAUGACAACAGUUAUUGCAUGAUAACUGGUUAAAAGGGGCAACUGCUCCACUACCAGAUGGACCUGCGUUGUAUUAGCUAGUUGGUGAGGUAACGGCCCACCAAGGCAACGAUACAUAGCCGACCUGAGAGGGUGACGGGCAAAACGGGAACGGGAAAAGGCUCCGGACUCUAACGGGGGGAGGCGGUGGGGAAUAUUGGAAAUGGGGGGAAGUCUGAACGCGGAAAGCCGCGGGAGUGGAGGAGGUUCUCGGAUUGUAAAGGCCCGUUGUAUGGGAAGAAAAACUGUCAGAGUGGAAAGUUCACAGUGUGACGGUACCUAAACAGAAAGCGACGGCUAACUACGUG